UCUGGUGUGCACAACAAUAUCAUCUUUGGACAAGUGCAUUCAGUGUGUGGGACCGGUUUCCUCCCUCAAGUGGCUUGGCUAUAAGUGCAAAGUUUGUUUAGGGGUCUGGCACAAAUCCUGCCUUGCAAAAUUGUCAAAUCAGAAUUGUCACCAGUCAACACAGAAAGAAGAAAUUUCUGAAUAUUCAGGGGAAGAUGGAUUGCCACAUUCAGUUCUGGAUCAAAUAUCAAGCGAUGAUGAUGGCAACCACAGCAUAUCAG
Molecule: long non-coding RNA, 260 nt
Organism: Pelmatolapia mariae (spotted tilapia)
Lineage: Eukaryota; Metazoa; Chordata; Actinopteri; Cichliformes; Cichlidae
Exons: 3
Source: RefSeq, a predicted model, not a curated record